AGCAGCCGCGGUAAUUCCAGCUCCAAUAGCGUAUAUUAAAGUUGUUGCAGUUAAAAAGCUCGUAGUUGAAUUUCGGGGUUAGUAGGUCGGUCAUGCCUCUGGUAUGCACUGGUCUCACUGAUUCCUCCUUCCUGAUGAGCCAUAAUGCCAUUAAUUUGGUGUUGCGGGGAAUCUGGACUGUUACUUUGAAAAAAUUAGAGUGUUUAAAGCAGGCUAACGCUUGAAUACAUUAGCAUGGAAUAAUGGAAUAGGACGUUCGAUCCUAUUUUGUUGGUUUCUAGGAUUGACGUAAUGAUUAAUAGGGAUAGUUGGGGGCAUUAGUAUUCAAUUGUCAGAGGUGAAAUUCUUGGAUUUAUUGAAGACUAACUACUGCGAAAGCAUUUGCCAAGGAUGUUUUCAUUAAUCAAGAACGAAAGUUAGGGGAUCGAAGACGAUCAGAUACCGUCGUAGUCUUAACCAUAAACUAUGCGACUAGGGAUCGGAUGAU
RNAcentral lists this ribosomal RNA (487 nucleotides) under uncultured Glomus. Its description in RNAcentral is "SSU rRNA". It matches the Rfam family "Eukaryotic small subunit ribosomal RNA", at positions 569 to 1061 of the family's 1831-position model. The record is from RNAcentral. Lineage: Eukaryota; Fungi; Glomeromycota; Glomeromycetes; Glomerales; Glomeraceae.